Molecule: ribosomal RNA, 468 nt
Filed under: uncultured bacterium
Lineage: Bacteria
Description: partial 16S ribosomal RNA
Rfam family: Bacterial small subunit ribosomal RNA
Source: RNAcentral
GACGAACGCUGGCGGCGUGCUUAACACAUGCAAGUCGAACGGAAAGGCCCUGCUUUUGUGGGUUGCUCGAGUGGCGAACGGGUGAGUAACACGGGAGUAACCUGCCCUUGACUGUGUGAUAACUUCAGGAAACUGGGGCUAAUACCGGAUAGGAGCUCCUGCUGCAUGGUGGGGGUUGGAAAGUUUCGGCGGUUGGGGGUGGACUCGCGGCUUAUCAGCUUGUUGGUGGGGUAGUGGCUUACCAAGGCUUUGGCGGGUAGCCGGCCGGGGAGGGUGGCCGGCCACAUUGGGACUGAGAUACGGCCCAGACUCCUACGGGAGGCAGCGGUGGGGAAUAUUGCACAAUGGGCGGAAGCCUGAUGCAGAAACGCCGCGUGCGGGAUGACGGCCUUCGGGUUGUAAACCGCUUUCGCCUGUGACGAAGCGUGAGUGACGGUAAUGGGUAAAGAAGCACCGGCUAACUACGUG